GACUUGGAUGAUGCUUAUGUUAAUGUUUUGAAGAAACCUAGUGGUAAGUAUAUAAGCAAUCCAUUAAUAAAAUUAUAUUCAUUUAUCAUCCCUGUCAUUGGAAUCAGUCCUGGUAAAGUUAGUAAAAAGUUUGGCUCAUUCCUUGAGUGGAAUAUGCUGCUUAAUAGUAUAUAUAUGCAUGUAUUUAAAGAAAACCAUUAAAAUGUUAAAAUUCAACUGCAUAUAAGCUGCAUCUUCUAGACAUUCAUAUUAAUUCCAUAAUUGUGCACUUCUAUUAAUCCUUACAAUAGUAUAGUUCAUGUGUAUAUUUUUGUAAGCUCUAUUUACACAAAUAAAGCAAAUACUGAUAAAACUAGUAUUGAGAUUACUAGACAUGAAGCAUAAUGUAUAGAGCAAAUUUGCAAUGGUGAAUGUUUCACAUCUUGAUCAGAAACUGUUUUGAGUACCCACAAUCAGUCCUGCUCAUGGACACCACUGACAUGAAAGUAACAUUGGAAGAUAGUGAAUGACUUCUCUUAAUGGUAACAUCAUCAUCAUCGUUUAACGUCUGCUUUCCAUGCUAGCAUGGUUUGUACGAUUUGACUGAGGACUGGUGAAUCAGAUGGCUACACUAGGCUCCAAUCUGAUCUGGCAAAGUUUCUACAGCUGGAUGCCCUUCCUAAUACCAACCACUCCGAGAGUGUAGUGGGUGCUUUUAUGUGCCACCGGCACGAGGGCCAGUCAGGCAGUAAUGGCAAUGGCCACUCUCAAAUGGUGUUUUGUACAUACCACCUGCACUGGCAACGACCUCGCUCAAAUGUUUUUUUCACAUGCCACCAGCACAAGUGCCAGUAAGGCAACACUGGUAGCGAUCAUGCAUGAAUGGCACUUUUUACAUGCCACUGGCAUGGAAGCCAGUUAGCUACUCUGGCAACGAUCAUGCUCGGAUGGUGCUCUUAGCAAUCCACUAGCAUGGAUGCCAGUCAUCGAAUUUUAUUUCAAUUUCGAUUUGCCUCAACAGGUCUUCACAAGCAGAGUUUAGUGUCCAAUUAAGGGAAGGUACGCAUAAGUGAACUGGUUACACCCCUGGCAUAGGCCAUGAGGUUAUUUAAACAUUAUUAUGUUUAAAUAUCAAUAAAAUAUAUUUGAGUGACUGAUAUAGUAGAAUACCAUACUAAAUACUUGAAGGUGUUAAAUUUAGUCCCACUCUAUUCUGAGCUCAAAUACCACUGAUGUCAGUUUUAUCUUUCAUCUUUUUCUGAUCUACAUAAUAAAUUUCAGUCAUCUACUAGGUUGAUUUUGCAUGCUAAUUUUUAUUCACUGAGAAAACUCAUUAUUUUUAAUAUUGAUUAUAUAAUUUCACUUUUUGUUUUUGUUGGGCUUUGUAAUGUAUUGCAUAUAUUAUAUACUCUGUAUUUUAUACCCAGUUGUUGUAUUCUACACCUGCACAAACUAAAAGUUGCAACCCUAUUGACAUUUACGAAAACAACAAAGAAAUGAGAUUAAUCCAUAAGUUGUUAUAUGAAGAUAUUGUCUUAAAACAUAUUUAUUUUGAAAUAAGUUUUUCUAAUGACCAUUCAUGCUUUGUUUUCUUGAAAGUAGAUAGUGUCAGAAUAGUUGAGGUAUGAUUAAGUUCUUCUUUCAUUUUGUAAGUAUUGUUAUUCAUGAAUUUAAUACUGUAUUUAAAGUCAAGCUAUUUUACUGGUUUUACUUCUUUCAUAAUAUUUCCUUAAUGAAGAUGUCAUGUAUUGAAAACCAUCUCUCAAAUAUGUUCUGGAAGUAUAACUGUACAUUCAAAAAUAUCCUAAACUCUCAACUAACAGUUUCUAAAUUAACAGUUUCUUACAUUCUCUUUUAUUCUAACCUGAUUAUAUCCAUAUAUCCAUAUGCAGAACAUGGGUAUAUAAAAUAAUGCAAGUAAUAGUAAACUAAAAUCUAAGCCUAUGAAAGAAGAAACUAUUUAUACUUAUAUUUCUCUGAAUUAUAUAUAAUAAAUAAAUUUGUCUCUUUUUCUUAGUUAUGAUUAUAUAUGUACAGGAUUUGUACACUAUCAUUUCAUCCAUAUUCAUUGGUGAAGCUUGGAUUUUCUAUAUAUUUCUAAAAAUACUUAUGGAAUUAGAGGAUUUAGAUUUAAUUUAUUCUCAUCAUUUUAUGUACCUAAAUUUAUCUUUAAGAAUCAAGAAUUUUUCAUUCACUAUAUAGUUCUGAUAUUUUUCUCAUUUCACAGCAGUUUUAGGCUGAAUUACAUAUAGAUAUUUAAGUUUUUAUUAAUUUGUUUAAAUUCUUAUUAAGUUUUUUGAUAUUAGUUAUUUAAAUUCUCAGACACUCAGUUACUAAAUUGGCUUGCUACCUGUCUUUGUUUAAACUCUGCAUGAGUUUCUGAACUUACAAAAUGGAAACAUACAACCAUGAAUUCUUUCAUCGCUAAGCAUUCAUAUGUGUUUCAACUUGAAGUUCUUCAGAAAUGGAAACCUGUAAAGCAUCUUGCAAUUAGAACCAAUAACUUAAUCUUGUUAAAGAUCACCAAAACACAACACUGCACAUCUCAAAAAAAUAUCUAUUACACCUUUUUCUCUCAUGAAUAUUAAAACUUUAUGUAAAUUCUAACACUCUUCAUAUAUUUUUCACUGAUCUAUAAUACUCCAACUAUCCAAACUUCAGUGCCAAACAACUGACAAUAAACAACCAUUACCAAGAAAAUUUGCUCUCAUCCCCACAUCAGAAUCGCACUGUAAACUCCCCUGACAGUUGCUGCAAAAUCUACCAAACCAGAAAAUCAUCUUGGAGAGAGCUGAUAGUUAUUGGUACAGAAAGCACAUGUUCUAUAGGAAAACCCAUGAAAAAAACUGUUCAAAGGAACAAUUAACACUGAAAUUAAUGUACUAGAUUGACAGACAGCUGCACAUACAACACUAGUUGCAAAACACGAGGAGCAUAUGACCAAAAACUACAAGCUCAUGGCAUACUUGAAGGUUAUAUAUGAAUUAUAUACAGUUUUCUUGAAUGCAUUCCUCCACGUCCACUUUGGAAUAAGCAAUAUGGUGGCUGAAGAGUAGGCAAGAGGAAAGAAAGGAGUCAUAGGCUGGGAUGAACAGCUUCUUAUAAACCUUCCUUAAGGUAACAAAACAGCAUUGCUAAAACUUAUUGACUGUAUGGUUAGACUCUAAGAAGUUGUUUGAUUCUGCUUAUUACUUAUGGAUAAGAGAGUCACCUCAUUCUGUUGAGGUUCUAAAUGAUAUAUUCAUUGUUAUUAAGGGACUGACUACAUCAUGGUCCACAAGAACUAUCAAUAAGAACUGGAACUACCACUAUAGUCACUAACAAAGUUAUAUUAUCUACAGGAAUAUUUCAGGGUGACAGCUCAUCUGUAAUGCUUUUCAUCCUAACAGCGAACCAUUUGUCAGCCUUUAAAGGAUUACAUGACAGGAUCUGCACCCACAUCUUUUUUGUUUAUAACCUUACUACUACUACUACUACUACUUCCAAUUAUUUUUCUGCAAAGCAUGUAAUUACUUUCAAAAUUACCAAGCAUCAAAUAACUGUUUAAGAGAUCAGGAUCUCGUGUGCAUUUUUAUUCUUUCAUUUUGUAGGUUACCAGUGAAGGUCUAUGUUCUUCAGAUGAACAAAAGGAACCUAGAAGCUUCCAGAACUGAAUGAAACCUUGUGAGCAACCAAUCAGUCUCUUUGUCAUCAUUUCAUGGACACUUUUGCAAGCACUGAAGAUUUGAACUAAAUAUCUGAUACUACCAUAAAAUUAUUGAUUUCUGUUAUAUGCUAUAACUGCUUUGUUUUUGUAUAUAAUUCAUUGACAAUUUCUUGAUUUAUCUUCAGUCUUUAUAAAUGUCUAUCUAUAACUAAACAUUUGCAUCAAUGAAGUAAACCCAGUUAAAUUUCAGUAUUUCUUUCCUCUUAUAUGAGUCAUCAUCAUUUAAACACAGUAUGAAUAUUUAGCAACAUAGUUAUAAAUAUCAUUGAUUUUGGAACAUAUUUUAGAAUAAUCUCCUGAAAAAAAAUUAAGAAUUUGAAUUCAUGCCAAUUUUCUACAAAUGACCAGCAAUUAUGAUUGGGCUUUUUCCACAUUAAACAUAUUCUUGAAACCAUUUACAACUUCAUGAUUAAAAUUUGUGAUGUUCACUUUACAAAAGUUCAUUAUAUACUUUGUUAGUUUACUGCAUUGGAAUCAAUGUAUUCAGAUUUCA
This 4178-nucleotide long non-coding RNA is filed under the name Octopus vulgaris (common octopus). The record is from RNAcentral. Lineage: Eukaryota; Metazoa; Mollusca; Cephalopoda; Octopoda; Octopodidae.